AUAUUUGAGGAGAUCUGUCCUUAGUACGAGAGGACCAGGGCAGACGAACCUCUGGUGUUCCAGUUGUCACGCCAGUGGCAAAGGCUGGGUAGCCAUGUUCGGAAAGGAUAAGCGCUGAAAGCAUCUAAGCGCCAAGCUCCCUCCAAGAUUAGAUAUCCCGGGACGCAAGUCCCCUGAAGACAUCUUGAAGACUACAAGGUUGAUAGGCUCUAGGUGUAAGCACAGUAAUGUGUGUAGCUGAAGAGUACUAAUAUGUCGUGCGGCUUGAUCAC
RNAcentral lists this ribosomal RNA (272 nucleotides) under Candidatus Omnitrophota bacterium. RNAcentral's name for it is "Candidatus Omnitrophica bacterium partial 23S ribosomal RNA". It matches the Rfam family "Bacterial large subunit ribosomal RNA", at positions 2658 to 2925 of the family's 2925-position model. The record is from RNAcentral. Lineage: Bacteria; Pseudomonadati; Candidatus Omnitrophota.